RNAcentral lists this ribosomal RNA (253 nucleotides) under uncultured bacterium. RNAcentral describes it as "partial 16S ribosomal RNA". It matches the Rfam family "Bacterial small subunit ribosomal RNA", at positions 524 to 776 of the family's 1533-position model. The record is from RNAcentral.
UACGUAGGGUGCAAGCGUUAAUCGGAAUUACUGGGCGUAAAGCGUGCGCAGGCGGUGAUGUAAGACAGAUGUGAAAUCCCCGGGCUCAACCUGGGAACUGCAUUUGUGACUGCAUCGCUGGAGUGCGGGAGAGGGGGAUGGAAUUCCGCGUGUAGCAGUGAAAUGCGUAGAUAUGCGGAGGAACACCGAUGGCGAAGGCAAGCCCCUGGGCCUGCACUGACGCUCAUGCACGAAAGCGUGGGGAGCAAACAGG